This 4825-nucleotide long non-coding RNA is filed under the name Populus trichocarpa (black cottonwood). RNAcentral's name for it is "long non-coding RNA (PTRI_LNC003042)". The record is from RNAcentral. Lineage: Eukaryota; Viridiplantae; Streptophyta; Magnoliopsida; Malpighiales; Salicaceae.
UGGAUAGACAUGUUUCCCAUCCAAUUAGCAGUUUUCAUUUUAAGUUUGGAAAAAGAAAUGGAUUUGAGAGCUCAAUCUUUGACAUCUGCAACCUGCUACUGUUUUUAAGUAUGAGAAUUAUGCAAUGAAGGAGCUUCUUUUUAUCUUCAAGUAUUGUUCCUUAAUUUCUUUCAUUUAUUAGAAGAAAAAGGUACAAAAAAGAAUUAUUUCAAAGUGGCAGAUAAAAUAAACAAACAAGCAUAAAUCAAGAUUGAGAGCAAUAAAACCCAUAAUCAGGCAUUGACAAUCAAGACUAAAUCACACAUAAUUUAUUUUUUUAUUUCAUUUAUGUGGCCAUGAAAUGCAAAACCCAGCAUGAAAAGAAAUGGGUGUUGUAAGAAACAAAAAGAAGAAGGAAAAUUCAUCAAUCCGAGUGGGAAUCGUUAUCUGAGUAAGCAUCAGAGUCUGAGGAGGGCAGAUAGGGCGGGGCGGGGUGGUAGUAAAGAUAGGUCCAGAAAGAGAGAGCGAGACGCCCAAAGUGAUGAAGAGGGAGACAGAAGAGGAGAUGUAAAACUUGAUCGCUGCUUAAGCGUUCUGGGUUGCACGCUAUGUAUUGACACAGAUUUGCUGAUACGUUCGCUAUUGUCACCAUCAAACUGCUGUUCAGAACCAUCUCUCUGUCUCUUCUUCUCUUGUUCAAUUUAUUUGUCUGUGUUCUGUCUUUGGUCUUCGCCUGCCCUGGAGUGGUGGCUGUCCGUCUUCGGAUGUUUUGUUGGGUUGCCUUGUAUUCAAGUUUUUUUGGUCUUAUUGAUUUCAUUGGGGAAGGAACGAUGUCGUAUAAGGAAAAUUUCACAAUGUUCCAUCAGAUGAAUAUUGAACAAGAUCAAUUAGUCAGAGUAGAUUAUAAUUCAUUUCUAUAUAUUUUUUUAAUUUACACAUGUAAACAAAUUAAUUAGCCAAAGCAGUAUCUAAUUUAUUCAAAUAAAUAUUUUUUAAAAUAUUACGUUAAAAUUAAAGUUAUAAAUUAUUUUGCUAAUUUAACAAAUUAUUAUUUUCAUAUCGGGGAAGGAAAAUAUAUUAUUAUUGAAAAUUAUUCCAUAAGUAAAGCAUGCAUAAUAUAGUGAAAUGAAAAAAAAAAAAAUUAUAUUGUCUAAAACUUAUUAUAUAAAGACAUAACAGAAGAAGAGAUUUUUCAACAUUCUACACUAUCAAUCAAAGAAAAUAGAGAUGUUCUAAUCCUGAGGGGUGUAGCUCAACUGGUUAUAUUCUGAAUUUGUUCCCUAAAGAUCACCAGUUCGAGUCUCACAAACCUCAGGGUCAUUGAAGGCUUACAUGUUCGUUAACUUCAUGGCCCGUGAGAUUAGUUAAGCUGCGCGCAAACUGAUCCGGACACCCAUAUUAAUAAAACAAAAAAUAAAGAUGUUUUGUUCACUAUUAAAUUUAACUAUUUCUCAUCUCCUUUGUAAUGCUUCGUCUCAUCUCUUCUGUCUUAAAAAAAAGAAAAAAACCAAAUGGUACCUAAAGUCAUAUUGCAUGUUUUUUUUUUUUUUUUGAAGAGAGGAUUGAGUUGAAAGUAAGAGGAUAAAAGUGAAAAAUACUGGUAAAAUAGAUGGUAGCUUUCAAAUUUGUUUGAAAAGUAUAUUUUAGUCCCUAUUUUUUUUAGCUAUUAGAUGACCGGUUCCUCUAAUUUUAGAAAAAUUAAUUUUAGUCCCAAACUUUAUUUUCAUUUAUUUUCGGUCCUUUUUUGGGAGGGAGGAGAGAAAAUAAAUCACCAAAUUUCAAUUUAGAGAGAGAAAGUUGACGUUGCGAUAAUUCUAGCCAUCAAAACAAUAGAUUUUUGUUCAAAAUGGUUCCCUCUGAAAUAUGAGGUUCAAAUUAAAUGUUUUUUUUACCUUAAAAGUAUCUAAAAAACAUAUAUAAGCCCGGAAAGAUUUUUUAUUUUGGGUUAGUUUUGGGUUUUAGAAUGGCUUUUUGCAUUUUUGAAGGUUAUGAAAUUAUUUAACAAGGUUCCAGGGUGUUUUUCUAGGUGUUUUGGGUUGAAAAUAUAUUUUUAGAAGAAAAAAAUCAGCCACCAUAGGGUCUAAAAUCUGGAUAUUCCAGACAAUGCGUUAUCUGCUACAGAUGACAUGUAGUCUAUGUUUCUCAAGCAGAAUUAAGACAAAUGACAUGUCCUCCAUCUCAUUACCUUAUAAGAAAAAUAAAAUCUCACGUGCAGGCUCUUUAUUCGCAGGCCAGGUGCUUGCUCUAAGCUCAUUCUUUUUUCUUUUUUUUAAGUUUUGAUUUUUUUAAUUUAAAUUUUUUUUUAUAAGUUGCUUUUUUUAGAAAAAUGAGUCACGAGUUAUAUUUAUGAGAAUUGAUAUUUUUUAUUAAUGAAAUCUUGUUGAAUAUUGCAUAAAACAAUUAUAUUGAUUUGAAUUUUGCUACAUCCAUGCAUGCCCAGCUUGUAUCUGUACUCUACCAGACACCAAAAUAAAAAAAAAAUAGUUGUUUUUAUUUUGAUACAAUUAUGGUGCCACAUGUUUAAGAGUAAUUUUCAUUACAUCACUGUUCAUGACAUUUAAAAAAAAUCCACAAACAUUUCAUAAAAAAAUGAACACAAGGUUUGAAUAAGGUAAGAAUUUGAUACUCAAAUUAGAACUUUAAAAUCAUAGUUUUAAAUAGGAUAUUUGAUAGUGUAGUAAAUAUUGUUUUUUAAAGUGUUUUUUUUUUCUGAAAUGUAUCAAAAAAAUAUAUUUUUUAUUUUUUUAAAAUUAUUUUUGAUAUCAAUACAUCAAAAUAUCUGAAAAUAUAAAAAAAUAAUUAAUUUAAAUUAAAAAAAAUAAAAAUUAAUUUUUUUCAAAAAAUAUUUUUAAAACACAAAAAUAAACGUUUUGCUUCUUUAGAAAUCAAGGAAUGACCAUGUCAUGUAGAUUCUAUAGCUCUCUUGCAAUGUCUCUGUUUCAAAAUUCAGCAAGUAAAUUAUAUUUGAGAAUAGAAAUCCAACCUCCAUUUUGCAUAUUUACAUAAACUAAUCCAUUUCACUGUGUUUGUUUUCUUAAACAGUGGAAGUUGGAAGGAAAAAAAGCAAGGUAUUUUAUUUAUUUUUGUUAUUGCAUUGAAAACAUAGUUUUUUAAAAAAUUAAAUUUUUUUUUUAAAUUUUUUCUUAUACGUGUUGUUAAAAUUGUUUUGAUACAAUGAUAUUAAAAAUAAUCUUUAAAAAUUAAAUAAAAAAUAUUAUUUUAAUACAUAAAUCAUUUUAAAAAACAACCCUUUGCCACCCAAAUUUUUUAUAUUACCAAAUCUUCAGGCUACUCCUUUUUAUUUUUCAUGUCCGGCUAUUGAAGAAGAUACAACUUCACUUUAAAGUUAUCCAUGUAUAGAUACGUCGGCCAUCCAAUUAGCAGUUUUCAUUUUAAGUUUGGAAAAAGAAUUGGAUUUGAGAGCUCAAUCUUUGACAUCUGCAACCUGCUAUUGUUUUUAAGUAUGAGAAUUAUGCAAUGAAGGAGCUUGUUUUUAUCUUCAAGUAUUGUUCCUUAAUUUCUUUCAUUUAUCAGAAGAAAAAGGUAAAAAGAAAUUAUCUCGAAGUGGCAGAUAAAAUAAAUAAAUAAAGACAAACAAAACAAACAGGCAUAAAUCAAGAUUGAAAGCAAUAAAAUCCAUAAUCAGGCAUUGACAAUCAAGACUAAAUCGCACAUAAUUUAUUUUUUUAUUUCAUUAAUGGGGCCAUGAAAUGCAAAACCCAGCAUGAAAAGAAAUGGGUGUUGUAGGAAACAAAAAGAAGAAGGAAAAUCCAUCAAUCAGAGUGGGAAUCGUUAUCUGAGUAAGCAUCAGAGUCAGAGUCAGGCAGAUUGGCCGGGGUGGGGCUGUAGCAAAGAUAGGUCCAGAAAGAGAGAGCAAGACGCCCAAAGUGAUGAAGAGGGAGACAGAAGAGGAGAUGUAAAACUUGAUCGCUGCUUAAGCGUUCUGGGUUGCACGCUAUGUAUUGACACAGAUUUGCUGAUACGUUCGCUAUUGUCACCAUCAAACCGCUGUUCAGAACCAUCUCUCUGUCUCUUCUCUUGUUCAAUUGAUUUGUCUGUGUUUUGUCUUUGGUCUUUGCCUGCCCUGGAGUGGUGGCUGUCCGUCUUUGGAUGUUUUGUUGGGUUGCCUUAUAAUUGAAGAUAUUGAAGUGUUUUCGUCUUAUUGAUUUCACUGGGGGAAGGAACGAUGUCGUAUUAGAGCUGUUUCAAUUUCAAAUAAGAAUGGGCUUGGUAGUUCUUUCCUAGGCUUUGACCCACAAAUCUUUUAACAAUUUUAGCCAACAAGAAGUCCUUUUAAAAUCUCAUACACAUAAUUUUGAAAAAAAUGAGGUUCAGUAUUUUUUUUGUGUGUGGGUUUUGGCAGAUGUCACUGUGUUUUUUUUAAAAAAAUAUUUUUUUUGUUUUAAAUUAUAUUUUUAUGUAUUUUUAAAUUAUUUUGAUGUGUUAAUAUUUAAAAAAAAUUAUUUUAAUAUAUAUCUAAAUAAAAACACUUUACCUACCAUGAGGCAGAGAAAGCACCAAAUAUUCUAGGUAUGCUGCUUAUAUCCAUAAACUAGCUAUCAAGUAUUUUGAUUCAUUCUAAAUAAUGCAACCUGAUAAAACGCAUCUUGCUUUACCAGUUGUUCCUAGUUGUUCCUAGCAGGAUCAUACACAUCAACUUUGAUGAUUUCAGUCCAACAUAAAUUGGAUAAAUGAGGAUCCAAGUCAAGCUGAAAGGAAGUCAGAAACCUUAAAUAAAGACUUGAUAUCCCUGUUCAUGCAUAGGCUGCUUAUAUCCAUAAACUAACUAUCAAGUACUUUGAUUCAUUCUAAAUAAUGCAACCUGAUUAAAUGCAUCUUGCUUUAC